RNAcentral lists this long non-coding RNA (256 nucleotides) under Gossypium barbadense (sea-island cotton). RNAcentral describes it as "long non-coding RNA (GBAR_LNC004505)". The record is from RNAcentral. Lineage: Eukaryota; Viridiplantae; Streptophyta; Magnoliopsida; Malvales; Malvaceae.
AACAAAUUUGUUUUGUGUUUUGUUUUCUAGAUCUGGUUGGGGCAUUUUCUUGAGGUCCAAGGACUAUUUAUUUCCAUCCAAGAAACCCUAAUUCAUUCUCUAUUGGACCCUUUACCAAUCAGUUCAUCUUUCUUUUGUUUUAAUUUCUUUUGAUUCUCCUUUGUGAAAACUAAUCUAUUUCUGUUGUUUCUCAUUUCCAUUUACGUUCGUCUAGAGAUUUAGGAUACAUCCACAACUUGAACAAACUUUAUGAUCC